GGCCUGGUGGUCUAGUAGUAUGAUUCCUUGUUAGGGAGCUUGUGCGCUUAUCGAGGAGGUCCCGGGUUCAAUUCCCGGCCAGGCCC
Sistotremastrum niveocremeum HHB9708 is the source of this 86-nucleotide non-coding RNA. Lineage: Eukaryota; Fungi; Basidiomycota; Agaricomycetes; Sistotremastrales; Sistotremastraceae. The record is from the annotation of a GenBank genome assembly.